RNAcentral lists this ribosomal RNA (457 nucleotides) under uncultured bacterium. Its description in RNAcentral is "bacterial SSU rRNA". It matches the Rfam family "Bacterial small subunit ribosomal RNA", at positions 340 to 786 of the family's 1533-position model. The record is from RNAcentral.
UACGGGAGGCAGCAGUGGGGAAUAUUGCACAAUGGGCGCAAGCCUGAUGCAGCCAUGCCGCGUGUAUGAAGAAGGCCUUCGGGUUGUAAAGUACUUUCAGUCGUGAGGAAGGUGUUAAGGUUAAUAACCUUAGCAAUUGACGUUAGCGACAGAAGAAGCACCGGCUAACUCCGUGCCAGCAGCCGCGGUAAUACGGAGGGUGCGAGCGUUAAUCGGAAUUACUGGGCGUAAAGGGCACGCAGGCGGUUAAUUAAGUUGGAUGUGAAAUCCCCGGGCUUAACCUGGGAAUGGCAUUCAAGACUGGUUAGCUAGAGUCUUGUAGAGGGGGUAGAAUUCCAUGUGUAGCGGUGAAAUGCGUAGAGAUGUGGAGGAAAUACCGGGUGGCGAAGGCGGCCCCUGGGACAAAGACUGACGCUCAUGUGCGAAAGCGUGGGGAGCAAAACAGGGAUUAGAUACC